GACGAACGCUGGCGGCGUGCUUAACACAUGCAAGUCGAACGGGCCUUGUCCCCUUUUUUUUUGGGGGUGGGGUUAGUGGCGAACGGGUGAGUAACACGUGAGUAACCUGCCCCUCACUUCUGGAUAACCGCUUGAAAGGGUGGCUAAUACGGGGUGUUCUGGCCUGCUCGCAUGGGUGGGUUUGGAAAGCUUCGACCGGUUUUGGUUGUUUUGGUGGGGGAUGGGCUCGCGGCCUAUCAGCUUGUUGGUGGGGUGAUGGCCUGCCAAGGCUUUGACGGGUAGCCGGCCUGAGAGGGUGGGCGGUCACACUGGGACUGAGACACGGCCCAGACUCCUACGGGAGGCAGCAGUGGGGAAGAUUGCACAAGGGGCGCAAGCCUGAUGCAGCGACGACGCGUGAGGGAUGGAGGCCUUCGGGUUGUGAACCUCUUUCGCGAGGGAAGAAGGUCCUGCUCUUUGUGGUGGGGUUGACGGUAGCUGGGUUAAUGAAGCGCCGGCUAACUACGUG
This 508-nucleotide ribosomal RNA is filed under the name uncultured bacterium. RNAcentral describes it as "partial 16S ribosomal RNA". It matches the Rfam family "Bacterial small subunit ribosomal RNA", at positions 28 to 507 of the family's 1533-position model. The record is from RNAcentral.